Regulatory RNA element from Drosophila willistoni, 95 nucleotides. It matches the Rfam family "R2 RNA element", at positions 89 to 205 of the family's 212-position model. Rfam says of the family: This family represents the 3' UTR region of the R2 retrotransposable element. This family is known to interact with the R2-encoded reverse transcriptase in a reaction known as target primed reverse transcription (TPRT). NCBI's taxonomy places the organism in Eukaryota, Metazoa, Arthropoda, Insecta, Diptera, Drosophilidae. The record is from Rfam.
AUGGAGGUGUUUAGUCCGUAGGCAUACUGUUAGUAUGAAUCGGGCAUAUUUAUUGCGACGGCGCAUUAAAUAUCUUUGGAAGAUUCACCCACCAU